This 253-nucleotide ribosomal RNA is filed under the name uncultured bacterium. Its description in RNAcentral is "partial 16S ribosomal RNA". It matches the Rfam family "Bacterial small subunit ribosomal RNA", at positions 524 to 776 of the family's 1533-position model. The record is from RNAcentral.
UACGUAGGGUGCAAGCGUUAAUCGGAAUUACUGGGCGUAAAGCGUGCGCAGGCGGUUCGGAAAGAAAGAUGUGAAAUCCCAGAGCUUAACUUUGGAACUGCAUUUUUAACUACCGAGCUAGAGUGUGUCAGAGGGAGGUGGAAUUCCGCGUGUAGCAGUGAAAUGCGUAGAUAUGCGGAGGAACACCAGUGGCGAAGGCGGCGGCCUGGACAGAACCUGACGCUGAGGCACGAAAGCUGGGGGAGCGAACAGG